RNAcentral lists this ribosomal RNA (492 nucleotides) under uncultured bacterium. Its description in RNAcentral is "partial 16S ribosomal RNA". It matches the Rfam family "Bacterial small subunit ribosomal RNA", at positions 29 to 507 of the family's 1533-position model. The record is from RNAcentral.
AGUGAACGCUGGCGGUAGGCCUAACGCAUGCAAGUCGAACGGCAGCACAGUAAGAGCUUGCUCUUACGGGUGGCGAGUGGCGGACGGGUGAGGAAUACAUCGGAAUCUACUUUUUCGUGGGGGAUAACGUAGGGAAACUUACGCUAAUACCGCAUACGACCUACGGGUGAAAGCAGGGGAUCUUCGGACCUUGCGCGAUUGAAUGAGCCGAUGUCGGAGUAGAUAGUUGGCGGGGUAAUGGCCCACCCAGGCGACGAUCCGUAGCUGGUGUGAGAGGAUGGUCGGCCACCCUGGAGCGUGGACACGGUCCUUAGUCCUACGGGACGCAGCAGUCGGGAAUGUGGGACAAUGGUGGCAAGCAUUGUCCAGCGGUACCACGUGUGUUGAGGAGGCGUUCGGGUUGGAAAGCCGUUUUGUUGGGAAAGAAAAGCAUCAGGUUAAGACCCCGCUGUUCUGACGGUACCCAAAAAAUAAGCACCGGCUAACUUCGUG